Molecule: ribosomal RNA, 248 nt
Filed under: uncultured Ruminiclostridium sp.
Lineage: Bacteria; Bacillati; Bacillota; Clostridia; Eubacteriales; Oscillospiraceae
Description: partial 16S ribosomal RNA
Rfam family: Bacterial small subunit ribosomal RNA
Source: RNAcentral
UACGUAGGGAGCAAGCGUUGUCCGGAUUUACUGGGUGUAAAGGGUGCGUAGGCGGGUAGACAAGUCAGAAGUGAAAUCCAUGGGCUUAACCCAUGAACUGCUUUUGAAACUGUUUAUCUUGAGUGAAGUAGAGGUAGGCGGAAUUCCCGGUGUAGCGGUGAAAUGCGUAGAGAUCGGGAGGAACACCAGUGGCGAAGGCGGCCUACUGGGCUUUAACUGACGCUGAAGCACGAAAGCGUGGGUAGCAA